RNAcentral lists this ribosomal RNA (178 nucleotides) under uncultured bacterium. RNAcentral's name for it is "partial 16S ribosomal RNA". It matches the Rfam family "Bacterial small subunit ribosomal RNA", at positions 1323 to 1500 of the family's 1533-position model. The record is from RNAcentral.
AAGACGGAGUUGCUAGUAAUCGCGGAUCAGCAUGCCGCGGUGAAUGCGUUCCCGGGCCUUGUACACACCGCCCGUCACACCAUGGGAGUUGAGAGCACCCGAAGCCGGUGACCCAACCGCAAGGAGGGAGCCGUCGAAGGCGAAAUCAAUGACUGGGGUGAAGUCGUAACAAGGUACC